AGAGUUUGAUCCUGGCUCAGAUUGAACGCUGGCGGCAGGCCUAACACAUGCAAGUCGAGCGGUAGCACAGAGAGCUUGCUCUCGGGUGACGAGCGGCGGACGGGUGAGUAAUGUCUGGGAAACUGCCUGAUGGAGGGGGAUAACUACUGGAAACGGUAGCUAAUACCGCAUAACGUCGCAAGACCAAAGAGGGGGACCUUCGGGCCUCUUGCCAUCAGAUGUGCCCAGAUGGGAUUAGCUAGUAGGUGGGGUAACGGCUCACCUAGGCGACGAUCCCUAGCUGGUCUGAGAGGAUGACCAGCCACACUGAAACUGAGACACGGUCCAGACUCCUACGGGAGGCAGCAGUGGGGAAUAUUGCACAAUGGGCGCAAGCCUGAUGCAGCCAUGCCGCGUGUAUGAAGAAGGCCUUCGGGUUGUAAAGUACUUUCAGCGGGGAGGAAGGUGCUGAGGUUAAUAAUCUCAGCAAUUGACGUUACCCGCAGAAGAAGCACCGGCUAACUCCGUGUCAGCAGCCGCGGUAAUACGGAGGGUGCAAGCGUUAAUCGGAAUUACUGGGCGUAAAGCGCACGCAGGCGGUCUGUUAAGUCAGAUGUGAAAUCCCCGGGCUCAACCUGGGAACUGCAUUUGAAACUGGCAGGCUUGAGUCCUGUAGAGGGGGGUAGAAUUC
Molecule: ribosomal RNA, 670 nt
Filed under: uncultured bacterium
Lineage: Bacteria
Description: bacterial SSU rRNA
Rfam family: Bacterial small subunit ribosomal RNA
Source: RNAcentral